GUGGUUGUAGUUCAGUCGGUUAGAACGCCUGAUUGUGGUUCAGGAGGUCGUGGGUUCGAAUCCCAUCAUCCACC
Molecule: transfer RNA, 74 nt
Filed under: Flavobacteriales bacterium
Lineage: Bacteria; Pseudomonadati; Bacteroidota; Flavobacteriia; Flavobacteriales
Description: tRNA-His
Rfam family: tRNA
About the family: Transfer RNA (tRNA) molecules are approximately 80 nucleotides in length.
Source: RNAcentral